UACGGGGGGGGCAAGCGUUGUUCGGAAUUACUGGGCGUAAAGGGCUCGUAGGCGGCCAACUAAGUCAGACGUGAAAUCCCUCGGCUUAACCGGGGAACUGCGUCUGAUACUGGAUGGCUAGAGGUUGGGAGAGGGAUGCGGAAUUCCAAGUGUAGCGGUGAAAUGCGUAGAUAUCUGGAGGAACACCGGUGGCGAAGGCGGCAUCCUGGACCAAUACUGACGCUGAGGAGCGAAAGCCAGGGGAGCAAACGGG
RNAcentral lists this ribosomal RNA (253 nucleotides) under uncultured bacterium. RNAcentral's name for it is "partial 16S ribosomal RNA". It matches the Rfam family "Bacterial small subunit ribosomal RNA", at positions 524 to 776 of the family's 1533-position model. The record is from RNAcentral.